GACGAACGCUGGCGGCGUGCUUAACACAUGCAAGUCGAACGGAAAGGCCCUGCUUUUGUGGGGUGCUCGAGUGGCGAACGGGUGAGUAACACGUGAGUAACCUGCCCUUGACUUUGGGAUAACUUCAGGAAACUGGGGCUAAUACCGGAUAGGAGCUCCUGCUGCAUGGUGGGGGUUGGAAAGUUUCGGCGGUUGGGGAUGGACUCGCGGCUUAUCAGCUUGUUGGUGGGGUAGUGGCUUACCAAGGCUUUGACGGGUAGCCGGCCUGAGAGGGUGACCGGCACCAUGGGGACUGGGAUACGGCCAAGACUCCUCCGGGAGGAAGAAGGGGGGAUUAUGGAACAAGGGGCGAAGGCUGGAUGAAGAAACGCGGCGGGGGGGAGGACGGCCUUCGGGUUGUAAACCGCUUUCGCCUGUGACGAAGGGUGAGUGAGGGUAAUGGGUAAAGAAGAACCGGCUAACUACGU
This 467-nucleotide ribosomal RNA is filed under the name uncultured bacterium. RNAcentral describes it as "partial 16S ribosomal RNA". It matches the Rfam family "Bacterial small subunit ribosomal RNA", at positions 28 to 506 of the family's 1533-position model. The record is from RNAcentral.